RNAcentral lists this small nuclear RNA (308 nucleotides) under Mesocricetus auratus (golden hamster). RNAcentral's name for it is "7SK RNA". The stretch from base 10 to 73 matches the Rfam family "7SK RNA", at positions 24 to 87 of the family's 331-position model. Lineage: Eukaryota; Metazoa; Chordata; Mammalia; Rodentia; Cricetidae. The record is from Rfam by way of RNAcentral.
AGAUGUAAGGGCACCUGUUACCCCACUGAUCUUCAGGGUUGAUUUGGCUGAUCUGGCUGGCUAGGUAGGUGUCACUUACCCACCCCACCCCCACCCCUGGAUUGUUCCACGUGCACCCCUCCCAAAACAGUGCACUCAUUCAGAGACAGUGACCUUCACCAAAGCUAUAGAGUAACUAUGCUCCCCUGCUAGAAACUCCAAACAAGCUCCAUUUAAUCCUUCAUUCUCAAACCAACUCAUAAACACAGUGUCUCAGGAAGAAGGGUUAAAGGCUAUACAUCCCUUUUUUCCCCUUGAUGGAGACAAGG